This is a long non-coding RNA of Homo sapiens (human), 2459 nucleotides long. RefSeq lists it as uncharacterized. Lineage: Eukaryota; Metazoa; Chordata; Mammalia; Primates; Hominidae. The record is from RefSeq and is a predicted model, not a curated record. The transcript has 2 exons.
AAAGAAGGUUUCACAAAGCCCCGAGGCCGAGGCUGUGAGUCGUUCCUGUGGAAUCGGGGAGCCUGCAGGGAGGUCACCCUUUGUUCCCUCUGACAGAGGCGGCUUGGCUGGUGGCUGUGGUCUCAGCAGAACCCUGAAGUCAGCAGAGCUUGUAUCAGGGACCUUCCCACUUUCCUUGCUCACACUCCCGGCCUUCCCUCCCUGCGGGAAGGCUCCCAUCCCAGGCCCAGCCGGUGUCUCCUCUCCAGGACAGGCGCGGAGGAGGAGGCAGAGUAAAACCAGCCACCGCUCAGUGAGCACGUGCUACGCCCCAGGCCCCGGAGGGGAACAGGCUUUUUUCCUGUUCGGUGGAAAUGUUUGUGCUGCCAAGAGUCCAGCAGAGGAGAGACAGGAGAGGAAGACAGCACCUGCAUGGUCCCACGUGCGGGGCGUUUUGUGGGGAGCUCCAAGCUGGGAACAGAGGCCUUUCCCUGUUGCUCAGAAGGCUGCAUGGAGGUCAGGGUGCAAGAUGUUCUGGGAUGUGGGAUGGGGCCCCAGGGUGUCAGGGCUGGGAGGGCGCUAGGCCUCACUAGGCCCCACUCUCUCAUUAUACAAAUAAGAAAAUGAGACCAGGCUCGGUGGCUUAGUCCUGUAAUCCCAGCACUUUGGGAGACCGAGGCGGGCAGAUGGCUUGAGCUCAAGAGUUGGAGACCAGCCUGGACAACAUAGCGAAACCCUGUCUCUACCAAAAAUACAAAAAAUUAGCUGGGUGUGGUGAUGUGUGCAUGUGGUCCCAGCUACUUGGAAGGCUGAGGUGUGAGGAUCGCUUGAACCCAGGAGGCAGAGGUUGCGGUGAGCCAAAAUCUCACCACUGCAUUCCAGCCCGGGUGACAGAGUGAGACCCUGUCUCAAAAAUUAAAAAAAGAAAGAAAAUGAGAUUCAGAGAGACAAAGUGACCUGCCCAGAGCCACACAGCACACCCGUGGCUAAGGUGGAAGUUGAUCCCAUGACUCCUGAGCCUCCGCCCAGCCCCUGCCAGGUCCCAUUCACCUUUCUCCAGGGCCUCCACCCCAGCCUGUUUCGUAAACCCACAUCGCAGUGAUGCCAGCCACUUCCUCGCUUCCUUUGUCACCAGCUUUUGACAUAAUCACUGGGUUUUCCAAAGGGAAACAUAUUUUGGGGUUUUGUUUGUUUGCUUGCUUGUUUUAUGAGACGGAGUCUCGUGCUGUUACCCAGGCUGGAAUGCAAUGGUGCGAUCUCGGCUCACUGCAGCCUCCACCUCCCAGGUUCAAGCGAUUCUCCUGCCUCAGCUUCCCGAGUAGCUGGGAUUACAGGUGCCUGCCACCAUGCCCAGCUAGUCUUUGUAUUUUCAUUAGAGAUGGGGUUUCACCAUGAUGGCCAGGCUAGUCUCAAACUCCCAACCUCAGGUGAUCCGCCCACCUUGGCCUCCCCAAGUGUUGGGAUUACAGGCGUGAGCCACCAUGCCCAGCCAUUUUGGUUUGUCUUUUUUUCUGCUCACUCGAAGAAUUCUGAACGCCCUUCCAAAUUAUUUGGUUGAGACUGGAGGCAGGCAGCGAGGCACACCAAAAACAUGACAACAACCCCGGGGACCCUGCAGUCACUGCUGGCCUGGAGGAAGAUGGGACACCAGGCCUGUCGCUGGGGCAUGGUCAGCUCAUGAGCCCGAAGGUCUCAGGAACAAGGGGCGUUGGCCAAGCUCCCCAGCCUGAUUGUGGUCCCCUGCAGGAGUGGCUGAGGGAGUCUACACAAACUGCUCCGAGGCUGGGGCUUUAGCAGCUAUGAGUGCCGACAGAGCCCCUGAGGAGGUGAAUGGCCAUCAGCCCAGCCAGAGUGGAGCCCUGCAGCCUGGUCUACCCUGGACAUAAUCCCUGAUUUGUACCUGAGCCUGUACCUGAGAUUACAUUUCCCAGCCUCCUUUGCAGCUAGGUGUGGUCAUGUGACUAAGUUCUAACCAACGGGAUGUGAGCACAAAGUGAUGUGCAUAGCUUCAGUAAAGAAAAGGGCAUGACCAGGCGCAGUGGCUCACUCCUGUAAUCCCAGCACUUUGGGAGUUUGAAACCAGCCUGGCCAAAAUGGUGAAACCCUGUCUCUACUAAAAAUACAAAAAUUAGCCAGCAUGGUAGCACACACCUGUAAUCCCAGCUACUAGGGAGACUAAGGCAGGAGAAUUGCUUGAGUCCGGUGGGUGGAGGUUGCAGUGAGCCAGGAUCACGCCACUGUACUCCAGCCUGGGUGAAAGACUCAGUCUCAAAAAAAAGAAAGGGGCAUGGUCUCCUUUGCCCCUCCCUUCUUCUUGCUGGCUAGAUGGUAGGUGCAAUGGCUGGAGUUCCAGCAGCCAUUUUGGACCAUGAAGCAAUUCCAGGAAUAGAAAUUGAUAGAAGAAUGAGAUAGGAGAAGCCUGGGUCCCAACAUCAUGGAGCCUCACAGACGUGAGAAAUAAAUUCUCAUCUUUUUAAAGA